UACGGGGGGGGCAAGCGUUGUUCGGAAUUACUGGGCGUAAAGGGCUCGUAGGCGGCCAACUAAGUCGGAUGUGAAAUCCCCAGGCUCAACUUGGGAACUGCAUCCGAUACUGGAUGGCUUGAAUUCGGGAGAGGGAUGCAGAAUUCCAGGUGUAGCGGUGAAAUGCGUAGAUAUCUGGAGGAACACCGGUGGCGAAGGCGGCAUCCUGGACCGACACUGACGCUGAGGAGCGAAAGCCAGGGGAGCAAACGGG
This 253-nucleotide ribosomal RNA is filed under the name uncultured bacterium. RNAcentral describes it as "partial 16S ribosomal RNA". It matches the Rfam family "Bacterial small subunit ribosomal RNA", at positions 524 to 776 of the family's 1533-position model. The record is from RNAcentral.